CGGCGGACGGGUGAGUAACACGUGGGUAACCUGCCUGUAAGACUGGGAUAACUCCGGGAAACCGGGGCUAAUACCGGAUGCUUGAUUGAACCGCAUGGUUCAAUUAUAAAAGGUGGCUUUUACCUACCACUUACAGAUGGACCCGCGGCGCAUUACCUAGUUGGUGAGGUAACGGCUCACCAAGGCAACAAUGCGUACCCAACCUGAAAGGGUGAUCGGCCACACUGGGACUGAAACACGGCCCAAACUCCUACGGGAGGCAGCAGUAGGGAAUCUUCCGCAAUGGACAAAAGUCUGACGGACCAACGCCCCGUGAGUGAUGAAGGUUUUCGGAUCGUAAAACUCUGUUGUUAGGGAAAAACAAGUACCGUUCGAAUAGGGCGGUACCUUGACGGUACCUAACCAAAAAGCCACGGCUAACUACGUGCCACCACCCGCGGUAAUACGUAGGUGGCAAGCGUUGUCCGGAAUUAUUGGGCGUAAAGCGCGCGCAGGCGGUUUCUUAAGUCUGAUGUGAAAGCCCCCGGCUCAACCGGGGAGGGUCAUUGGAAACUGGGGAACUUGAGUGCAGAAGAGGAGAGUGGAAUUCCACGUGUAGCGGUGAAAUGCGUAGAGAUGUGGAGGAACACCCAGUGCCGAAGGCGACUCUCUGGUCUGUAACUGACGC
RNAcentral lists this ribosomal RNA (667 nucleotides) under bacterium. Its description in RNAcentral is "bacterial SSU rRNA". It matches the Rfam family "Bacterial small subunit ribosomal RNA", at positions 96 to 746 of the family's 1533-position model. The record is from RNAcentral.